This 19-nucleotide small nuclear RNA is filed under the name Arabidopsis thaliana (thale cress). Its description in RNAcentral is "snRNA_04559". Lineage: Eukaryota; Viridiplantae; Streptophyta; Magnoliopsida; Brassicales; Brassicaceae. The record is from RNAcentral.
UACACUUGAUCUUAGCCAA